GACGAACGCUGGCGGCGUGCUUAACACAUGCAAGUCGAGCGGUAAGGCCCUUUCGGGGGUACACGAGCGGCGAACGGGUGAGUAACACGUGGGUGACCUGCCCUCAGCUCUGGGAUAAGCCUGGGAAACUGGGUCUAAUACUGGAUAUGACUCCACGGUGCAUGUCGUGGGGUGGAAAGCCUUGUGCGGCUGAGGAUGGGCCCGCGGCCUAUCAGCUUGUUGGUGGGGUGANGGCCUACCAAGGCGACGACGGGUAGCCGGCCUGAGAGGGCGACCGGCCACACUGGGACUGAGAUACGGCCCAGACUCCUACGGGAGGCAGCAGUGGGGAAUCUUGCGCAAUGGGCGAAAGCCUGACGCAGCGACGCCGCGUGAGGGAUGACGGCCUCGGUUGUAAC
Molecule: ribosomal RNA, 398 nt
Filed under: uncultured bacterium
Lineage: Bacteria
Description: bacterial SSU rRNA
Rfam family: Bacterial small subunit ribosomal RNA
Source: RNAcentral